RNAcentral lists this ribosomal RNA (437 nucleotides) under Candidatus Kuenenia stuttgartensis. Its description in RNAcentral is "bacterial SSU rRNA". It matches the Rfam family "Bacterial small subunit ribosomal RNA", at positions 383 to 810 of the family's 1533-position model. Lineage: Bacteria; Pseudomonadati; Planctomycetota; Candidatus Brocadiia; Candidatus Brocadiales; Candidatus Brocadiaceae. The record is from RNAcentral.
GUGAACGAGCGACGCCGCGUGCGGGAUGAAGGCCUUCGGGUUGUAAACUCCUGUCACGGGUUAAGAAGAGUGGUUUGACUAAUACUUGAGCCUUUCUGACAAAGGCCCGAGAGGAAGCCACGGCUAACUCUGUGCCAGCAGCCGCGGUAAUUCAGAGGUGGCAAGCGUUGUUCGGAACCACUGGGCGUAAAGGGCGCGUAGGCGGUGGCGUAAGUUCGUGGUGAAAUCCCCCGGCUCAACCGGGGAAUGGCUGCGAAUACUGCGUCGCUUGAGGAUGAGAGGGGAGAGUGGAACUUCUGGUGGAGCGGUGAAAUGCGUAGAUAUCAGAAGGAACGCCGGAGGCGAAAGCGACUCUCUGGAUCAUUCCUGACGCUGAGGCGCGAAAGCUAGGGGAGCAAAAGGGAUUAGAUACCCCUGUAGUCCUAGCCGUAAACGAU